Molecule: ribosomal RNA, 234 nt
Filed under: Salmonella enterica
Lineage: Bacteria; Pseudomonadati; Pseudomonadota; Gammaproteobacteria; Enterobacterales; Enterobacteriaceae
Also listed under: 2 other names
Description: partial 23S ribosomal RNA
Rfam family: Bacterial large subunit ribosomal RNA
Source: RNAcentral
UAAGCCGUUGAAGGUGUCCUGUGAGGGGUGCUGGAGGUAUCAGAAGUGCGAAUGCUGACAUAAGUAACGAUAAAGCGGGUGAAAAGCCCGCUCGCCGGAAGACCAAGGGUUCCUGUCCAACGUUAAUCGGGGCAGGGUGAGUCGACCCCUAAGGCGAGGCCGAAAGGCGUAGUCGAUGGGAAACGGGUUAAUAUUCCCGUACUUGGUGUUACUGCGAAGGGGGGACGGAGAAGG